RNAcentral lists this long non-coding RNA (1691 nucleotides) under Oreochromis niloticus (Nile tilapia). RNAcentral describes it as "lncRNA (ENSONIG00000022305.2)". The record is from RNAcentral. Lineage: Eukaryota; Metazoa; Chordata; Actinopteri; Cichliformes; Cichlidae.
GGAUUGGAGAGAUAUCAGGGAAAAAUAAAUAUUUAGCUGUGCAGAAACCUAGGCUGCUCCUGUUCUGGAGGACCUGUGUGUAAAAUUUGUGAUGUUGCUAUAUUAGUGAUACUAGUGUGCCUUUAUUGGCAAGAUUUAAUUGCAUAAAAUUGCACUUAAAUACUACUUUUAAUAUUUUAGGCACAGAAACAGAGCAUAGUGAAUAGGAGCAAUAGUAAGUAUUCCUGAAGGCUACUUGCAGAAACUAUAAGAAAGCUUGACAAACAGAGCUCGGGUUGUUUUUGAAGAUAAAAAAUAAAAACUAAAAAUAAUUUUUAGGUUUGAAAGAAGUGUACAAACUCUUUUUUGUCUUCUAUACUGAAUUUCCUGAUUUUUUUGCACAGUUCAGGAAAUUGCUGCAUCUAUUCCCCUUUUCAUGCAAAUUAUAAAGAAAGAGGGGUGACAUUUAAAAACAACAAAUAGCCCCGUGAGUCAACAGACGUACAAAUUUAAGACAUAAUACUAAUAUAGCAAUUUAAUUAGAAAUAUUGUCACUCCAAUGUGCAGUGGUACAAUACACAGUGAAAUGAGACAAAGUUCCUCCAAGACCAUGGUGCGACAUGUAACAUAUAACAGACAAUCAACACAGGACUACAUAAAGUUAUUAAACAAAAUAGCGAUUUCAAAAAGUGACUCCUUACUUCCAGAUAUGGUUUUGCUUCCUCAAAUUAACUUUCAUGAUUCACUUGUGCAGCAGCUCUUACGUUUGUCAGUGGUAGGGAACCUUCAAAACUCUGGAGAGGUGAUGAUACUUCUCUGUCAAAUCUGUAAACUAACCAUGUAAAACCUCUCCAUUGGUAUCAUUUACUGAACUUGUGGAUAGUUGUGCUCUUUACCCCGACAUGAUUUAAAUGUUUCCAAAGGAAGCACCAGCAUUCAAAUUUAAUUUUCAGAUAUCAGAGUCUCAGUGUUUGUGUGCAUCAUCAUCAGAAAUAAUACGCCCCAUGACCCAAAUGCACCAUUGCAAAUAAGUAUUUGCAUUCAGUAAACCUGACAACAGAACCAUGCCACUGCAAACACUGGGCAUCUAUGCUGGGUAAAGAAAAAAAAAUUUAGGCUGUGUUUACUUUUUUGAGUGAGAAAAUCACAUAAAUUUGUUUAUCCAAGUCAACAUUUAAGAUCUAAAAACUGGACUGACUCUCUCUCUCUGUGUUGUUAAUCGAAAAAUCAUUAAAGUUAUACAACACUCUUUACAGUAAGGAGCACAAUAAUUGUAAUAAUAAUAGUAAAUUUUAUUUAUAGGCACCUUUAAAGGCCCUCGAUGUCACCUUACAUUAGUACAACAAAAUAAAGACAUAAGAAAAACAAAUUUACAAACAAUUAUAAAAGCUAAUGAAGGUAAAAACAGACUAAGACUGAGUCAUGAUGAAGAAUAUCCAAUUCUGAAUGGAUGGGUUUUAACACCUGAUAUACCUGAAGUAGAGAGAGAGUUUGUAGUUUGAAGAUCUGGUUGAAGUGGAUUCCAAAGUCUUGGGGCAGAACAACUACAGGCUCUGAGUCUCAUGGUAGUCAGGUGAGCAGGUGGAACAGACAGAAGGGAAGCUGAAGAAGAACAAAGUGUACGAGGGGGUAAGUACGUAUGGAGAGGAUCAGAUAAAUAUGGAGGAGCAAGGUUAUGAAGGGCUUUGAAAGUAAGAAGUCGGACCUUGAAA